CUGUACGCUGGUUAUAGUUGUGGUAGGAUUCAGCCCAUUCUUUUAUAAAGUUUAACCAAGUUCCUAACGUAAACAUGUAAAUAUAAAGAUACAAAUUUAAGUCUAUAAAUAUCUAAAAAUCAAACAAAUGAUGAUAUUAUUAUUUUACUAAAAAAACCUAAAUGAAAUUCCAUUCAUUUCCCAAAAACUUGUUUCUUCCAUUCCCGAAGCCGCUUUUUCUUUCCAUACUUCUUUUUAUCUCUAGCAAUCUCUUCCGGAGUACGAUAUGGAGUCAUCUUUUUUAGACCUACAUAAUUAUUAAGGUCGGCAUCUGAUGCGUUAAGAAUAUCAAGUAUAUCAAGUCCAAAUGUCUCUGGGGCGACCUGUUGGUAGCGAAAUUUAGAGUUUUUAACAAUCACCGCCUCAGGAACACCGUAUUUUUCUUCGACGUACUCAUCAAUUUUUCGUUUUUUCUCCCUGAUAUCUUUACGUAAGGAUUUUUUUGAUUUUUCACGAUUUCCAGUAUCUUCAACAGUUUUAUUUUCUAUGCUGCCCAGAUCUUCGGAUCCAUUAUCCACUUGAGCGAUGUCAUCGAUGUCUAUAUCAUCGCCAAAUUCGGGCUUUUUAGCAGAAUCUUCUUCGUAGUAAUUUUCGUUAAAAAUUUCUGACAUUUUGGAUUCCCAUUUUUCCGGAUCAAAGUCUUCAUCUAAAUCAAGUUUUGAAACAUCGAUAUUUUUGGAACCAGCAAUUUCAAUAACCUGAUUAAGUUUCUCCUCUAACUCUUUCCGUUUAAGAUUUUUGAGUCUGUUGACUUCCUCUAGUCGCUUUUGAGAUGCUUCUUCAAGUCUUUCUUUUUUGCGAUCACGUGCACGUUUACGAGAAUCAUCCUUCCUUCGUAAACUGUCAGCAACAUUUCGAGGGUGAGAAACUAUUUGGCUGCCAGCCUCUUCUUCAAAGCGGAAGUUAAAUUUGUUUUCAAAUUCCUCAGCAUCUUCGUCAAAUCUGUUCUCGGCAUCAACCUCAUCAAUAAUUUCUUCAUAGGAAGGUUGUUUGGUGUUGGAAGUUCGCCAUCCACGAUUCAUCAUAUAUUUCAAUAAAAAAUCUUCAUCUGACGGCUUAAUUCCAUUUUCAUCAUCUUCAGUAUUAACAAGAACAGAUGGACGCUGUUUGACAUACGAGGAUGAUAAAUCUUCUAAAACUUUUCUAGCUUCCUUACUCUGUGCACUUUCCAACAAAAACCUUUCAUAGCCAUGCUCUUCUUCUUCAAGUUGUUUUUUCGUUUUCUCUUUCUUUACUAAAAAAUCACCAUCUUCGUCAGAUUCAUUGCUCACUGCAUCCUUAUUCCCGUUGACAUCAUGAAACGCUGCUAUUGUUUCUUUUCUUAAACGUUCUUGCUCCUCGACGUGAGUGGGAUUAGCAUCGUUUGGCAUUGGUUCAUCUUCCUCCGCAUCUAAAAUUUCGCCCGAUAACAAUUUUUGACGAUGGUAGUCUUUUAGUGUGACGGAGCGAAACCCGUCCUUACUUUUUAAUGAUCCUUGCACAUCCUUUUCGACUUCAUCAAAAUACUUCUGUUGAGAAUCAUAUAGAUCAGGAUCCUUGUUCCGAAUUUUGACAAUCAUUCGUAAAAUAGCAGCAUCCACUUCAGGAGUGACAAGUUCUCCAUCCGAAUCUUCUUCCUCUUCACUGGAACUCUCAUCGCUGCCUUCACCAUCCACUCCAUUAGCCAUCUGUUCCCCGUAUUUUGCUUCUACUAAUUUUAGUUAGUAUACCUGAUUCACGUUUUCUUUUCAAUUGAAAUUUCAUAAGCAAUAGAAUAAUCGCCAAAGAUUUGCUUUUCAACUGAUUGCAAGAAAGCCAUUACAAAAAAAUUUACUUACACUUUUGAAGCUCCUCACGCUUUUUAUUGUGUUCAAAUCGCUUUGCAUAUUCUUCGUUAAUUUGAAAAGAAUUAAUUUCCUCAUCUUCAGAGCUGCUUUCCUCUAAUAAGUGACUUUUGCUAGUAACGUUUUCUUGAAGUUGAUCAAUUGACUUUUUAUCAGUUGGUACGUUGGAAUUGAUAACCUUUUUUUGAACCAAAGCUUCACGUGCUUUCUUAGCUGCUGAUUUUUUUCUGGGCAUCUUGUGAAUGGUAAUGGAAAAAGUUUGGUGGGGUAUUUUAACAACAAGUAGUGAAAAAAGUUGGCAGUGUUGCUGUAAAAGUUACCACCAAAAACUAAAUUUGCAAAUGGUGGUGAGUUUUUAACUUCAAUUAAUAAUAUAAAAAAUGAGAAUUCGAAGAACAAGAAGAAUAAAAAACUAAAUUGAAUAAGUUGCAACUAGUAGACUAACAUAUCGGAACAUUAUAAGUAGUAUUAAUUUUGAAAAAUACACAAUGAAAUUGAUUACUACCAUUUCA
Schizosaccharomyces pombe (fission yeast) is the source of this 2374-nucleotide non-coding RNA. Lineage: Eukaryota; Fungi; Ascomycota; Schizosaccharomycetes; Schizosaccharomycetales; Schizosaccharomycetaceae. The record is from the annotation of a GenBank genome assembly.